RNAcentral lists this ribosomal RNA (225 nucleotides) under uncultured Eubacteriales bacterium. Its description in RNAcentral is "uncultured Clostridiales bacterium partial 16S ribosomal RNA". It matches the Rfam family "Bacterial small subunit ribosomal RNA", at positions 109 to 334 of the family's 1533-position model. Lineage: Bacteria; Bacillati; Bacillota; Clostridia; Eubacteriales. The record is from RNAcentral.
AGUAACGCGUGAGUAACCUGCCUUACACAAGGGGAUAGCCUUUGGAAACGAAGAAUAAUACCCUAUAAAACCAUAAAAGCACAUGCUAGAAUGGUCAAAGUGAUAGCGGUGUAAGAUGGACUUGCGUCUGAUUAGCUAGUUGGUGAGAUAAAAGCUCACCAAGGCAACGAUCAGUAGCCGGCUUGAGAGAGUAUACGGCCACAUUGGGACUGAGACACGGCCCAG